Molecule: long non-coding RNA, 3151 nt
Organism: Anopheles arabiensis
Lineage: Eukaryota; Metazoa; Arthropoda; Insecta; Diptera; Culicidae
Exons: 3
Source: RefSeq, a predicted model, not a curated record
UUUCUGGAAAACAUAGAAUGGAGAAACACAUUAUUAAUAACACACUAUUGUCAUGACCCCUAUAAGCUUUAUGUUUCGAUUCGUACUAUUAACUUCCAGUACGUUGUGGGCUUCAUGUACAUCAUUAGUUGUGUAUAAACAUCAUUUUUAUUUAUUCUUACGACAACAAUUGUACAUCCUGCCCUGCCACCAAUUCACAUUAAUCAAUUAACGUAUGGAUCGAAACAACACAAUUGCAACUUCUUGAAGCCGCCCCCCAGCUCAACCAUGCUACUGGGUUAGAUGCUAUUCUUGCUGCCCCCUAUUGUUUCAAGAGAUUUCAACUUAAAUGCAUAAUUAUUAGUGAAGAAUCGUCAUUAGUGAAUAGUCAAUAAAGAAAUGUUCAUCAUUAAUCCAACGCAGGCGCAUGAUGCACGUUUCACAUUAGGUUCUUUUUAAAGUGUCAACGUGAACGUAAAGAAAGUUCACACUUGCCAUGGGGUAGGAAUAGAUUGCUGUUUUAAGAGAUAGUGUCACUCUUAAAAGCUCUUGUGAAACAUCGUUGGCAUAGGGAGUGCAAUUUUGCGUUAUCUUUAACCACCUGGUAGCACAGCUAGCCGAGAUGGAUGAGCACGGGCGCACGAUGGGUACGUACUUCAUGCCGGCUCUUCAACGGUUCACUGCUCAAAAAGGGGAGAUCUGUGUGCUGCGAGCUGUUUCUUACCAGCCGCCGUGGUUUCACAUUGGCGUUGUUCCAAAAUAGCCGCCAGCAUUUUACUGCGAAACGUGCCCGAUGAUCACAGUUCACCCAUUCGCUCUGAACUCAUCGUAGCAGCAACUGGAGAGCACGAACAUACGCACACUAAUGCUGUUCUCUUUCUUAGAAAACCGAAAAAGAUUCCUUUCGAACUCUUCCGCGUGAAAAAAAAUAAAAUGAUGCUCUACUAACGCACACAUGGGCAAGCAUCUCGGAUUAUUAGCCGCCAGAAGAGAAAAAAAACCGCUAUCGAGGAGAAACACGCACACAAGGACAAAACGCUGUAGUUAUGCACACCGGCGUUGCUGAACGCCCAACAGUCUUAUCCAAACGAAUGAGGAGAGAAACGCCGCCUCUCUCUCUCUUUCAUUCUCACUGGCUCAAUGUCCGGUUGUGCCAACCCAGAGAUGCCUACCAUUCGUUCUUCUAACCGAAAAUGUAAGGUUAGGAAACAUCUAUAAAAAUUGCAUGCUUGCAUUCGCAGAACAGAUAUGGGAGUAUUUUCAGUUAGAAUGGCCUGCGUUAGAAUUGCUACCAGCAGCACUGACUGUACAGAAUAACCAUACCACAGAAUCGUCAACUUAAAAAAAUGAUAAAAUUACAGGUGCUGUUAAACCAUGCUUGCAGCAUCUGGGGCUUGCUUUGAUUGAAAUUAUUUAAAUAUGUAUAGUAAAGUAAUGACUACACUGGGAUCGUCAUUAGGUCAAGUGAUUGACUGCGACCCGCGUUUUACGAUAUGUGCGAUAUAAUAUGCAAACAAUUGGAUGAACCUGCUCCAAUGGCAUGAAUGCUUCAUAAAAGCCAUAAUACAAAAAGUAAACCUGGGAAUCUGAAGGAUCAAAUGAAUAACCACAUGUGUGUGUAGUUACCAACCUCACGCGACUCUGUUACGCAAUCCUAUGUUAGAAAAAAAAACACAUUCCUAACCAGACACAAGGAGAGAGCGCUCGGAAAACCUGCCUGUUACACUUUACUUUAGUAGUCGGGUUUGAUUGAUUCUUAGUGGUGUUAAGUUACCAGUAUUAUAAUAUUAAUACAUGUCCCUCUGUCAGAUCAAUUUCAGUCCUUUCAAGAAAGCUCUAUUUUCAUUAAUUGCGUUACACCGAAUAAUGCGAGCAAAAUAAUAAAUAUCCUGAAUGUGUUUCUGGAAUCAACAUUGAAAAUCUUCGUUUUUGAAGCACAACCAUUGCAAUCUUUCGCAUGCAAUCAUUCGCAAAUAUUGAACCUCAGGAGCAAUCGACAUAAAAUAAAAUCAUUUCAUUCAUCCUUAUCUUCAUUCUAGAUAACUUUUAAUUAAUAUACGUUCCAGUACAUACACCCAAUCACAUUGAUAACACUGAGCUGUUUUUAUAUUUGAUGAUUAAAUAUGCCCAGAGUCCAAGCAAAACAGUAUUGCAUUGCUCAGGCGCUACAGAUUAGGUGCAAAUGAUAAAUGAACCAAUAGCAAUAGCAAUUGCAAUCAGUUUUAAAAUAUAUCCUAAUAUAACAUUUAUUCAAUAUGUAUGUAACAUGUAGAAUCAGUACGACCUUCAGCAUUAGAACCAGUGUCCGGUGUACGUCAAAUUAACAUCAAUUUGAACGUUUUUCAACGUAGCGGUGGAAAAUAUCUAUCGAACCUCCUCGUGCACCAAUGCUUCAUCAAUAUGUUGUGUUCCCCAUGCAUAACAACAUUGGAACAGAGGUGUUCCUCUCUCAGCCACUUCCCUUACCCUUUCCAAACCCUUCUUUCCCCAUUAUGUUCAGAGACCUUUGUGUAGUUUUUCACAAAAUAAGCUGUAUUGAGUGUUCGCAACAGUGGGGAAGCCUAUAUUAUUGGCACACUCACAAACGGUCAGCAACGAACACCAAGUUCUAAAAUAAAUUCCAAAGGGUGUCCCCACAUGAAACCGAACGAAUAAAAAGCUUGAUGAACUGGUCACGCGGAACGAACCCAACAGGCACAUCCUAUAUAACGCAGACAGAAACCCCUUCUAACUAGAACAUUGUGUAUUUGGUCACAAAUUCAUCAUUCUCUCGCUCUCUGCUGCUCCCUCCGACCGACUCACGUCACGACAAGCCCCAAAACGUACGUUUUAGUUAUAUGAAAAACAUCUCUGUAAUUUACCAUACUCGUCGUUGUAGCGUUAUAGUAUCGAUCUAUACCGACUUAUAGACCAAUUUAUCACGGUUACCUACUUUACUACUGCCCAGUGGGCCAAACCCCCACGUUUUUCUGAGUUCAGGGAGUUUAGUUUAUGCUCCUAUUUUAGUAUGGAUCUCGCCUUUUUCAUCAUUCACGGAAUCAACCCUUUAUUUCAUUAGAGAGUUAGAUUGGAUACAUAUCAUACUCGCAGAAAGUAUCCUUCCUACCGUCCUUUAUAAAUCACAAAACAGCUCAAUUCAUAUCAAUCGAUCAAUACCAAAUUUAAUGAAACU